AACACCUCCACCAAAUCCUCCCCUUCCUCUCCGCUCAGAUCUGUACAACGAACUGCUGCUCGCCGCCGCCUCAUUCUUCCGUUCUCCCCUCCCCCGACCCUAAUUGCCAUGGCUGCGCUGCGCGUGAUGACUUCGGCGCGCCGCCACGAACUGAUUUGACGGCCACCUAAACUAUCCGCAGUCGUACCGCCUACCUUGGAAUCACCAUCGAAGGGGUGUGCGUAGCAUCCAUGCCGCCCGCGCCGACCCGUUUGGCUUCGACGACUACCAGAUCUAGCCGCCAUUGUACCGUGCCGUGCGCGUCGCCCCGACCUUCCCAAAGGGACGGAAGGUUUUCUUCGAUGGAUUCUAGUGUACUUAUUUCCGACAUAAAAGGUUUGUAACCUUUAGGACGUCUGACGCAUUGGUAAGAUCCAUCCAAUCUUGCCGCUAGUAAUUGCGGUUAACUACUCGCGAUCUCUUCCAUUUUCAGUGAUACUCCAUAUAUCUGUAUCACAAUAGAGUUCACAAUUUACUUUAGAGUUCAUUUAUUGAAACGAAAUUAACUCUUGCUGAAAGUACCGAUAUGAUUAACUUUGUACGUACUCUGAACAGUUUCACCAUCAGAUCCCUCAAUAACCACUUGUCCACUGUCCAGCCUUUUCUAAUCAUAGGAUUUUUUGUUUGUGAUUUAGUUUUUCAUCAAUUCCUCUUUAUAACACAUAAUGCUUCCAGUUUGUAUCAGGUUGUAUUGACUCCCACGUUUGUAAAUAUCAACUUGCAAUAUCUUACUAGAACUUAACAUGGAAAUAUGUUCAAUGGUUAUCAACAGUUGUUUUAACUAUCCUUUAGUAUUCUACUAUAGAUUUCUCUUAUUACCAGUAUACUAAAUUAAGUCUUUCUGGAUAAUUAUUCCCUAGAUGUUGCUUGAGCCUCUAUUAACAUGUCCAGGCGUUUUUAACAGCAGUAGUUGAUGCAAGUUUAGUUACAGCUAAACAUGCAUAAAAAAAUGUUGGCAUUUAGAGUUCUUGUACACAUAUCCUUGCUUCUCAUUAUCACACCUAUAUUAUAAUUGCAUUUGCAGGUCAGCUAGAACAAAUUAGGUUCUUCUUAGAGCUAUUCAGCAAAGGUAAAUCAUUGUUCUUUUCGACACUCCUACAAAUCAUUAAUUGUCAAAAUUAUUUAGAUAUGCUCUCUACAUUUGGACAACCUAACUAUACUUGGGGCGGGAUAUUGUGAUGCUAUCAAUGUAGUCAGAAGUCAUAACCUCUACAUCCACAUCAUUGCCUGCUUUGUUCAGCACUUCAUCUCCCAGGCUCACAAGGAAGAGAUUGUUGGAUUCCUCCCUGGAUCAAACGGUUCUUCUGCAGUUCUGCCGAGGGUGUCCUGCUCGCUCGGUAGUACAUUUUAUGGCGACAAAGCAUGUGCUGCAUUUAUACUCGGGCGGCAACAUCAACAGAAUUCCAUGAGCGAACUCCAUGGUGAAGGAUUUCCUGUCCAUAUGUUUCCCUUAUGAUAUCUGCCUAAAUCACUUGUGCCACACGUCUUCCUAAAUCACGUCUGCGCGCCGCUCCAACUACCAACAUAUGUUUAUGAAAACGUGUGAUUUACAUUGCAACCUAAGUAAUGAUACAUAUAUACUUCUUUGUUAAUAUACCCUCAACUAGGUGUGUUAGACUCCUUUUUAUCUAGAAUUAUUUUUGUUGCUACCUAUAUAUUUCUUCUCUGUUAUCAUAUUUUUGUUAAUGUAGAUUGCUUUGAAAAAUAUCACUUUAAGGUUCUCUAAGAACAAUAUGACACUGUUACUUUUCUCUGAAUAUUGUAAGCAUACCUUAUGUUUUACAGGAGUUUCUGCUGCCUCACUGUUAUACUGCUCUGGAAGAAUUAAUAUACACUUUUGGGGGGACCUUGGUAUUUGGUCUACUUCUUUCAGACCUUAUUUUGUUAUCUAUUGUUUUAAUUGUUGCUCGGGUGAAAUUUGUUGGCACUAUCAACUCAACAAUUGCGGCAGGUUGACCACUCCCCGCCUUCCUCGAAUCAUUAAAUGAAGUACUUUAUGAUUUUACUGCUCCAACUAAUAUUUAAUUUAAAUAUUAUAUGAAGAUUUAUUUAUUUUUUAGAAAACCACAUGCUGAACUAAAAUAGAUGUUUUGCUAUUGAUGCAGGUCUUGGAAACUAAUAUAGCAGUUCUAGUGUCAUGUUCCAGUAGUGCAUCAUAAUUUGGUUUGAUGUGGCAGAAUAAUUCUCGGUUUCCCAAGUGAUUAUAGAAG
Long non-coding RNA from Lolium rigidum, 2249 nucleotides. RefSeq lists it as uncharacterized. Lineage: Eukaryota; Viridiplantae; Streptophyta; Magnoliopsida; Poales; Poaceae. The transcript has 3 exons. The record is from RefSeq and is a predicted model, not a curated record.